RNAcentral lists this unclassified non-coding RNA (2415 nucleotides) under Hevea brasiliensis (rubber tree). Lineage: Eukaryota; Viridiplantae; Streptophyta; Magnoliopsida; Malpighiales; Euphorbiaceae. The record is from RNAcentral.
CCCCCCAAGUAAGUUUUCUCUCUCCUCUCUCUUUGUCUCCCUCUCUCUUUCUCCUAAAAUUUGAAUAUAUGGGUCCUGUACUUAAAACCUGCCUUAUAUGCACAUAUAUGUCUGUACUUCUUCAUUUUCAGGUUAAAUUGCAUAUCGUCAAUUGGUGAUUUCGCUCCAGAUCGCUGAGAUCUGCUAUUAUUUGCAAAGUCAAAAUUUUUGAAACCCUAGUCAUGAAAAUGCUUUCCAUUUUUGAAAUUUCAGUAUUGUAGAUCUGAUAAUGGGUUUCUGAUUUGGUGCCGGUCAAAAUGCUGGAUGUAGUACGAAGAUUUGAAUAUCAAAAAAUUAUGUGUUCUCGUUAAUGGGUACUUUGGAAUUUUAAUUUUUGUUGAUGGGAAUCUUAGAGUUCCUCUGUUUGGAUCUGGAAAUAAUUGAUAUCUUAGCACAAUAAGUUUUCAUUUGGAUAUGAAUGUGAAAUUGGAAAAUGCGAUUUGAAGUUGUACUUCCUCCUCAUUUUUAUUUCGGAAACUAAGCAGUCGAUUAGGCAUUAUUUGCUUCUUUAGAUGCAGAUGCCCUUUUUCCGGAUCUAUUUACAUUUGAAUCUGUUGUGCUGAAAAUUGAAUGGAUCUGUGUUGGUUGAAGCAUUAUUUCAAUGCACAUUUUUUUUUAUUAUGUUUCCUUACUUAGUUUUGAUGCUAUUGUUGUAUUUGUUUGUUUUCUAAAAUAUAAUUUUGAGGGCUCGUUGAUAGCUGCAGCAUUGCACUGCCACUAAUAUGUCGUCCCAAAACUUGAUGAAAGUUUGAUUUUCUAUAGCAACUGAUAUAAUGCGUCAAUCUAAAACAUAACAAAUGACUAAUUUCCUCCCUGUCGUGUUGUUCAUAACUGUGUAGUUUUCAUGGAUGACGAUGCACUAAACAUGCGCAAUUGGGGUUAUUAUGAACCGACCUUUAAGGGGAAUCUGGGUCUGCAGCUCAUGUCGAGCAUGGCAGACCGUGACACAAAGCAUUUCCUACCCGGGCGUGAUCCUAACAACAUCAUGGUUGGUCCCAACGGAGCUUUUCAUCCACGUGAUUGUGUGGUUUCAGAUGCCUCUGUCCCUAUGAACUAUGUAAGAGACAGUUGGAUAAGCCAGAGGGAGAAGUUUUUGAACAUGUUACCUCCAAAUCCUAAUUAUGCUGUUCUCCCAGAAACAUCUGGAGCUCACUCCAUGCAAGUUUUACAGCCACCCAAUUCAUCUAGGGAUGAGAAGGUGCCUAGGAUUGAGGAGCCAAGCGUAAACAAGGAAGGGAAUCAGUUGAAGAAAAGACAAGGUGGGGGUACCCCAAAAACCCCAAAAGCUAAGAAACCUAGGAAGCCAAAAGAUAGUAGCAACAAUGCAGUUCAGCGUGUGAAGCCAGCUAAAAAAAGUAUGGAUGUUGUCAUAAAUGGGAUUGAUAUGGAUAUUUCAGGUAUUCCUAUUCCAGUUUGCUCUUGUACUGGAACUCCUCAGCAGUGUUAUCGAUGGGGCUGCGGUGGAUGGCAGUCUGCUUGUUGCACUACCAAUGUAUCAAUGUACCCCUUGCCAAUGAGCACUAAAAGACGUGGUGCAAGGAUAGCUGGAAGGAAAAUGAGCCAGGGUGCAUUUAAGAAGGUAUUGGAGAAACUUGCUGCUGAAGGUUAUAACUUUGCUAACCCAAUUGAUUUGAGGACUCACUGGGCAAAACAUGGUACCAACAAGUUUGUCACUAUAAGGUAGAUUUACAUUGCCGGUGCCUAUGGUGGGACUUCCAUUGCAUUUGGUCUGCUUCUCUUGUAUAUAUCUGUGGCCUUUCGCAGAGAUCUAUCUGGUUCAUUGUAGUUCAUGAAUCUUCACAGAUAUGAUACUUGUUUUUGAAAUUCGAACAUAUGCUCUUUUCAAGAAUCACUGUUAAGUGUUCAGUUCUGUUUCUGUUAUAAAGGCAUCUAGUAACUUCUUGCCACCAGGAUGUAGGAUGUGGAUGAAAUUAUUUUUUUUUUGUUGGAUUUUGGAUAACAUCUUUUCCUCCCUUAAAUGAAUCUCUUCAAAGAUUGGUAAAUGAAAGCUCCUUUCAUCAUGUAUUAUUGUAUUUCACAUGAUGGUUCUUUGUUAUUUCAUUUGUAAUAGAUUCUUCUGACUGUUUUGAGAAGUUUGUUGUUGUUAUCACAUUACUGCAUAAGGGAUCUCGUAGGGACACUAACGUUGGUGUUCAGGAUUCUCAUGCUAUGGAAUUUUGUUAAUCUCUCAACUCAUAAUGCUAGAUUUUCCUGUAUUAGCUUUGAGAUUGAUAAUAAGAGAUCUGGUGUCAGACAGCAUGACAUCUGUUUCAUGUUUAUUGUAUCAAGAAUGGCAGUUCCGCAAAAUACAGAUGCAGACUUCUUAAUACAUGUGCAUUUAUGCACAUUUUAUCGUGUUUGUGUUUCUAAGCCUUG